RNAcentral lists this transfer RNA (72 nucleotides) under Actinoplanes couchii. RNAcentral describes it as "tRNA-Val". It matches the Rfam family "tRNA". Rfam says of the family: Transfer RNA (tRNA) molecules are approximately 80 nucleotides in length. The record is from RNAcentral. Lineage: Bacteria; Bacillati; Actinomycetota; Actinomycetes; Micromonosporales; Micromonosporaceae.
GCCCGGUUAGCUCAGCGGCAGAGCAUCUCGCCUACACCGAGACGGCCGGCGGUUCAAAUCCGUCACCGGGCA